AGAGUUUGAUCCUGGCUCAGGAUAAACGCUGGCGGUGUGCCUUAUGCAUGCAAGUCGAACGAGUUCUAGGGCUUCGGCUCUAGAGCAGUGGCGGACGGGUGAGUAACACGUACGUAACCUGUCCCGAAGUGGGGAAUAACUCCGCGAAAGCGGGGCUAAUACCGCAUAUGGUCGGCCGGUGCAAUACGGUUGACCAAAGCCUUCGGGCGCUUUGGGAGGGGCGUGCGGCCGAUUAGCUAGUUGGUGGGGUAACGGCUCACCAAGGCAACCAUCGGUAGCUGGUCUGAGAGGACGGCCAGCCACACGGGGACUGAGACACGGCCCCGACUCCUACGGGAGGCAGCAGCAAGGAAUUUUGCGCAAUGGGCGAAAGCCUGACGCAGCAACACCGCGUGGGGGAUGAAGGCCCUCGGGUCGUAAACCCCUUUUGCAGGGGAAGUAACUGACGGUACCCUGCGAAUAAGCCACGGCUAACUACGUGCCAGCAGCCGCGGUAAUACGUAGGUGGCAAGCGUUGUCCGGAUUUACUGGGCGUAAAGGGCGCGCAGGCGGCUCGUCAAGUCUGGGGUGAAAUCUCCCGGCUCAACCGGGAGAGGUCUCUGGAUACUGACGGGCUUGAGGGAAGCAGAGGAGAGCGGAAUUCCCGGUG
RNAcentral lists this ribosomal RNA (649 nucleotides) under uncultured bacterium. RNAcentral describes it as "bacterial SSU rRNA". It matches the Rfam family "Bacterial small subunit ribosomal RNA", at positions 8 to 675 of the family's 1533-position model. The record is from RNAcentral.